Molecule: ribosomal RNA, 613 nt
Filed under: uncultured bacterium
Lineage: Bacteria
Description: bacterial SSU rRNA
Rfam family: Bacterial small subunit ribosomal RNA
Source: RNAcentral
CCUACGGGAGGCAGCAGUAAGGAAUAUUGGUCAAUGGGCGCAAGCCUGAACCAGCCAUGCCGCGUGCAGGAAGACGGCCCUAUGGGUUGUAAACUGCUUUUGAACAAGAGAAAACCUCGGUACGUGUACCGAGCUGAUAGUAUUGUUAGAAUAAGCAUCGGCUAACUUCGUGCCAGCAGCCGCGGUAAGACGAAGGAUGCAAGCGUUAUCCGGAUUCAUUGGGUUUAAAGGGUGCGUAGGCGGCCUGAUAAGUCAGUGGUGAAAUCUCUCAGCUUAACUGAGAAACUGCCAUUGAUACUGUCGGGCUUGAGUACAGAUGAUGUGGGCGGAAUAUGACAUGUAGUGGUGAAAUACUUAGAUAUGUCAUAGAACACCGAUUGCGAAGGCAGCUCACAAAACUGUAACUGACGCUGAGGCACGAAAGUGCGGGGAUCAAACAGGAUUAGAUACCCUGGUAGUCCGCACCGUAAACGAUGAUUACUCGUUGUUGGCAAUAUGACCGUCAGCGACCAAGCGAAAGCGAUAAGAAUCCACCUGGGGAGUACGCCGGCAACGGUGAAACUUAGAAGUAGUAGACGNGNGAGAGNGACGACGACGACGACGGAGGGAGGAG